GUAUUAAACAUAAAUAUUUAUCUUUUUGUAAAAUUAACAAUGUAAGAAUCUGUCAAAUUGACAAGUUAAUCUUGCACUAACAUGGCUGCCGGGAUCAAUAGAAAACUGUCAUGAUACCUUUUGCCCAUGCUCAUUGGUAUUAUUAAAUUUUUUAAGAUGUAUCGUAUAAAUAUUUCCCGUGAAUAUGAAUUAUUUUAAAUUAUUAUCAAAGUUCUUUAUAUAUUUCGUGAAAAUGUCAUAAUUUUGACGAUUGUAAUGAUAGGAGAAAGUGUUCUGAAUAACUGUUGACCCGUGAAAAGAGGGUGAUUCACAACAAUGUAAUUCAGCAUUAUGAAAAUAUCACCUUUUUUUACGAUCCAUUAAAAUGUAUAGAUAUUAUAGCAGUACCUAGUAUUUUACAUAAAUGUCGACGAUAUUGUUGUUAUAAAAGUAUUAGUUACAUAAAGUUCGAAUAUAUUUAAUAUUUUUACAUAAUUUUUGUUACAUAGUUGUGACAAGACAGUGCCUAUUCCUACAAUUUUACUUAAUAUUUUCUGAUCUUGGUAGAGCAGAAGUAUCACGCUUAAUAAAGGAAACUAUUAAGUUUCCGAUAGGUGAAAUAUUAAUAUGGACAUUUUUGAAUUUAUUUGUACAUCUGUGAUUACAUUUGUGUGUGGUAUAAUAUGUACGCUAUGUUUGGAGUUUUACUUGUUCAAAAAAUAUUUGGAAGAAGCUCCCUUAGCAAGUCCUCCAAAAAGAUCAAUCCAUCAUGGAAUGGCUCAGUUACCUAAAGAAUUACUUGAAAAGAUUCAAGAUGAAAAGACAAAUCCUAACAUAAGUAUAUCACGCCAAGCCAUGUGCCAAGGUAACGAAAACUUGGCAAUAAAUUUAACGUUGCAAUUUUUGUUUAAUGAACUUCGAAAUGCUGAACGAGUUCGUCUUUGGUUGUAUAGAAAAUUAAAUAAUGAGUUCAAAGAAUUAUUGACUCAGUCCACUACAGGGAAAUUAUUGGAUAGUGUACAGUUAAGGGAUUUGAAUUUGGGUACUCAGUUUCCCACCAUAAAAGGUUUAGAAGUUGCAGAUUCAAAAAUAGAUGCUGAUACGGGUUUAUUGGAAACAUUGGAUUUAUCUUUAGAUUUGCAUUAUUCUGGAAAUUUUCAACUGUCAAUAGAUGUAAAAAUGCUGCUGGGUAAAACUGCUUACAUGGCUUUACAAGUGAAACGGGUCAGUGGGAGAGCGAGACUGCAAUUUACACGUGUUCCGUAUACUCAUUGGUCUUUAAGUUUUUAUUCAGACCCUAUACUUGAAUUAGAAGUGCAAUCUCAAUUUCAAGGUCGUCAAUUACAACCACAAAUUAUUUCCUUAAUCACAGGACAGAUUCGCAGAGCUGUGCGUAGGAAACAUACACUACCUCGCUAUAAAUUGCGUUACAAACCAUUCUUCCGCAGACUGAACGAUGAAGCGGUAGAUUUAUCCGAAGUUGCCAAUAUGCAAUUAAUACCGGGUUAUUUGGAAGUAUCAUUACUGGAAGUGAGUAGAUUAAAUCUUGGACCUAAUACGCUUAAUGCAGAAGAUAAAUCACAGAUCGAAGUGUAUUGUACGAUAAGUAUAGACUCAACACCUUGGGUAUAUUUGACUCAAUAUACUGGAGUUCCUUAUAUGGUGUUGGAUUUGAUUAUUAGUAAAGUUAGUUCUCAGCAACUUGGUGUAGUAUUUAAACAAGAACUUGUGCCAGAAAUAGGUCAUGUUUGUGUGCUAGUCGAAACUAUAAUAACUGGAAGCCCUGCAGCUAUUGCUGAAAUGAAAAAAGGGGAUAUUUUAGUAGCAGUAGAUGGUAAAAAAGUAUCUAACAUGAAUCAAGUAGGUAAACUUGUAAAGAGUGCUGUACAAAGGCGUUUUAUCAUAAGAGUUGAAAGAAAGUACUCAAAAGCAGAUUUGGAUAAACAAGCUAACAUGAAACUGGACAGUGAAAGAUUAUCUGCAGAGAAAGGAAUGGACAGAAAACCAUUGAAAACUGAUGCGUUGAGUAAAGGAGAUAGUAUUCCUAAUAUUGAAGAGAGUGCAAAGAUUAAAUUUGAAAGUCAAAUUAAAUUUUCAGAUCUGAAAGAUUCUGAAAGCGAAACUUCUGAAAAGCCGGAAACAGGUAGUAAAAUUUUUAAAAGAAGAAAAAGUAGCGCACAUACUACAGAUGAUACUGCUCAAACACCUGACAGUAUACCUUCCAGAAAAAUUUCAACCACUUCAAAUCAGUCUAUCAUAUCGAGUAACUCUCAGUUUUGUUUUAACGACGAUAGUUACAUAAUAAAUAUAUCAGAUUUAUAUUAUACCACGAAAGAAAAGGAACAUGCCUCUUUAAUUACUUUCGAAGAAACGAGAAACUUUCAAAUCGACUCGGAACUUCAGUACUUGAACAUAGGCGUAUGGGGUCGUGUAAGAGGAGGAGAAAUUCAGGCAAAAUUAUUAGGAUAUAUAAACGUUCCCAUGAAAUUAAUAUUAGCACAAUGUUACACGUCUUCAACUGGUCAUUAUCUUAAAUGCCAUGCUUUGUUACCACCAGACAGUGCUUCUUUGACAACCGUUCACCCAAAGUUACAAGGAUAUUCAGGAUUCGAUCCAACACUUUGUUAUGGUGACAUUUUAUUAUCUUACGUAUGGGAGUCCAGUUAUCCGAGUCGACAGUUAUCUGGUGAUUCAGGAAAGAAAGAGAGUACAGAAUCUGCCAAAAUACAGCCAACAUUGAACGAAGAGAUCACGAAUAAAAAGAUGCACGAUUUUAUUAGAACGCAUUUUCAUAGAGCAACACAUUGCGACUUUUGUACAAAGAAGAUUUGGCUAAAGGAUGCGGUACAAUGUAGAGACUGCGGCAUGGUAUGUCAUAAAAAAUGCGAAGUGCGCUGUCAAGCAUCAGGAAUGUGUGGAGCUGAGAGUAUAACGACAGUGGCAUUAGAAGCUGAUGAAAUAGAGCCUAAUACUCUUAUCGGGGAUUCAGGUCCAGAAAUUUCUCUAACCAGUUGUGAAGAUAAUGUACAGGGUGCAACUAUGAUGGCCAUGAAGGCUAGUAUAGCUAACACUCUGUUGGGCCUGAAGAAGGCUGGAAGCACCAGUUGCUUGGCCCCACCGGCUUCCGGUACCGGUCUGGCAUCUAGAAGUCUUCCCCCAAGUCCCUGUGCAUCCCGCAAGGUAGAAUUUAAUAACACACAGAUUUGUUCGCUUGGAACAGAGAAGGAUCAAAUUAACAAUUAUUCUAUAUACAAACAUUGGGACAAUGAUUUAAUUUUAUUUUUCGAACAUUCGGAUAUAGUUGUAGACCUUCUCUGCUCUGUAUUUGUUCUUUGUCCUUUUCUUUAUACCAACAAUUACGAUGAAUAAAGAUCACGCUUAUGACUAAGGUAUUUGAGUGUCUAGUUUUCCAGCUUGGAAAUGUUUUAUCCUAUUCAAGGGAAUCAACCGAAGAAGGCGCAUUGUUUGUCCAAAUAAAAUGUUAUAGGGAUUAGAUUUUUCUUUUCAAAAAUUUAUAGCAGAAAAUUUGUAGAACAUACGUUGUAACGACGAAAUAUGUGACUCUAAAAGUCAGCUUUCGUGAAUGUUUGAAAAGGAAAAUCUGUAAAAGAGACAGUGCUCUUUCUUCCCAUGUUCCCUUUAUUUGCGUUCGCAUUUUUAUGCAAUAUUUCUUAAACUUCUGUACACCAGCUUACGCUCUUCUUUUCUGUCGCUAACGAACACACUGUUUUCUGUUGCUCAUGGCACUAAUUAUUUAUUUGGGAUGACAGAUAUACAUGCAGAUGCACAUUGAGGCCGUCACGCUUAUUAUAUAAGACAUUAUAUAUUGAUGCUGUUACAACCUUUUACAAAAAACAAUAAGCGUUCGAAUAACUUGGCUUUGGUUGCGUUAGUUUCUUACGUUUUUUAAACUAUCGUAUGAAUCGAGAAUUCAUUGGUCGGAGGAUUGGGCAUAAGUUCUGAUCUUUUGGAGGGUGCUGAGCCUAGUGUGGCAGCUCCUCUAUUAGCCGGC
This 3991-nucleotide unclassified non-coding RNA is filed under the name Megachile rotundata (alfalfa leafcutting bee). RNAcentral's name for it is "pDZ domain-containing protein 8, transcript variant X6". Lineage: Eukaryota; Metazoa; Arthropoda; Insecta; Hymenoptera; Megachilidae. The record is from RNAcentral.